UGGGGUAUCGCCAAGCGGUAAGGCACCGGAUUCUGAUUCCGGCAUUCCGAGGUUCGAAUCCUCGUACCCCAA
RNAcentral lists this transfer RNA (72 nucleotides) under Klebsiella pneumoniae. Its description in RNAcentral is "tRNA-Gln". It matches the Rfam family "tRNA". Rfam says of the family: Transfer RNA (tRNA) molecules are approximately 80 nucleotides in length. Their secondary structure includes four short double-helical elements and three loops (D, anti-codon, and T loops). The record is from RNAcentral. Lineage: Bacteria; Pseudomonadati; Pseudomonadota; Gammaproteobacteria; Enterobacterales; Enterobacteriaceae.